RNAcentral lists this ribosomal RNA (119 nucleotides) under Salmo trutta (river trout). The record is from RNAcentral. Lineage: Eukaryota; Metazoa; Chordata; Actinopteri; Salmoniformes; Salmonidae.
GUUUACGGCCAUACCAGCCUGGGUACGCCCGAUCUCGUCUGAUCUCGGAAUCUAAGCAGGGUCGGGCCUGGUUAGUACUUGGAUGGGAGACCGCCUGGGAAUACCAGGUGCUGUAAGCU